Molecule: long non-coding RNA, 985 nt
Organism: Chinchilla lanigera (long-tailed chinchilla)
Lineage: Eukaryota; Metazoa; Chordata; Mammalia; Rodentia; Chinchillidae
Exons: 6
Source: RefSeq, a predicted model, not a curated record
CUAGCAGCAUGGCCUAGCAAAGCCCACAAAACCUCAGUUGAUUAUUCCAGGAACACAGCUGUGGAACACCCCAGCCAUUAAGCAGCUACUCAACUUCUCUGGAAUUCAGACCCCUCCCUGCAACACUUGGGGCUCUUGGAGAUUCAUUUUCCAGUCCGCAAAGGGAAGAUCAAAAGAAAAACCGUAAGGAAAUGGACAGAUGUGGGAGAGCAUGACACCUGACAAACAGCUGUUAUGGUCCCAUCAGGAAACCCCUGUCAUUGUUUUCGGCCACCUACCCUUGUCCCAUCCACCAGGUGCUCCUGUGGCAGACAUACAAGUUCAGUCUACUGUUUUCUGAAAAGAACCCCGUGGCAUUUUAUGCAGCUCGGUAUUCCUCCUAGUCCAGAUGAUUGAAGAAUCAUCUUCUGGAGGUGGAAAGAGUUCAACACCACAACUUGCUUCUUUCCUUGUAAUGGACCCUGGCUGCACCGAAACUGCACUACACAUUUCUAAGUCUACGUUGGAAAGUUUGAAUACUUCACCAUAACUGCAUCCUAUCCCAAGGGACUGGAACCAAAUGACUGGAACCAACGGUGGCAGGUUUAUGAGGAACAGUGAUGAGAAAAGAGGCUGAGGUACUGAAUCUCGUAACAGCCAGAGAUUCGAAAGAUUAUUCACUAACGCAUUGUGAAAGCAGCGAGCUCUUGGCUGGUGAAAAAAGAAAUGAAUAUCCAUAUGACCUCAUCUGUACACACGGGCAGACUGGCCUACACUCGCCUAAUGGGGAGAGCAUCCCAAGCUUACCACGUUUGGCUAAUGCUGGAGUCUGUGCUGGAAAGACUGUACAGUAUCUCUGUGAGACCAGUGAGGACACACAUGAGGAGGAGCCUCCGGGAUGACUGACCAAUGUCUCCUCAUGAAUCAGUACUCUGACCUCUCCAUGAACGGGCUUUGAGCAUGGUAGAAUGCAACUAUUUAUUUUGGUCUGCUUAAAUAAACAGAA